AUUGAACGCUGGCGGCAGGCCUAACACAUGCAAGUCGAACGAGUGGCGCACGGGUGAGUAAUGUCUGGGAAACUGCCUGAUGGAGGGGGAUAACUACUGGAAACGGUCGCUAAUACCGCAUACCCUCAGAUGCGCCCAGAUGGGUUUAGCUAGUUGGUGGGGUAACGGCUCACCAAGGCGACGAUCCCUAGCUGGUCUGAGAGGAUGACCAGCCACACUGGAACUGAGACACGGUCCAGACUCCUACGGGAGGCAGCAGUGGGGAAUAUUGCACAAUGGGCGCAAGCCUGAUGCAGCCAUGCCGCGUGUAUGAAGAAGGCCUUCGGGUUGUAAAGUACUUUCAGCGGGGAGGCGUUACCCGCAGAAGAAGCACCGGCUAACUCCGUGCCAGCAGCCGCGGUAAUAC
This 406-nucleotide ribosomal RNA is filed under the name uncultured bacterium. RNAcentral describes it as "partial 16S ribosomal RNA". It matches the Rfam family "Bacterial small subunit ribosomal RNA", at positions 30 to 526 of the family's 1533-position model. The record is from RNAcentral.